RNAcentral lists this ribosomal RNA (547 nucleotides) under uncultured bacterium. Its description in RNAcentral is "bacterial SSU rRNA". It matches the Rfam family "Bacterial small subunit ribosomal RNA", at positions 355 to 896 of the family's 1533-position model. The record is from RNAcentral.
UAGGGAAUUUUUCACAAUGAGCGAAAGCUUGAUGGAGCAAUGCCGCGUGAACGAUGAAGGUCUUUAAGAUUGUAAAGUUCUUUUAUUUGGGAAGAAUGACUUUAGCAGGUAAUGGCUAGAGUUUGACUGUACCAUUUUGAAUAAGUGACGACUAACUAUGUGCCAGCAGUCGCGGUAAUACAUAGGUCGCAAGCGUUAUCCGGAUUUAUUGGGCGUAAAGCAAGCGCAGGCGGAUUGAAAAGUCUGGUGUUAAAGGCAGCUGCUUAACAGUUGUAUGCAUUGGAAACUAUUAAUCUAGAGUGUGGUAGGGAGUUUUGGAAUUUCAUGUGGAGCGGUGAAAUGCGUAGAUAUAUGAAGGAACACCAGUGGCGAAGGCGAAAACUUAGGCCGUUACUGACGCUUAGGCUUGAAAGUGUGGGGAGCAAAUAGGAUUAGAUACCCUAGUAGUCCACACCGUAAACGAUAGAUACUAGCUGUCGGGGCGAUCCCCUCGGUAGUGAAGUUAACACAUUAAGUAUCUCGCCUGGGUAGUACAUUCGCAAGAAUG